Molecule: ribosomal RNA, 460 nt
Filed under: uncultured bacterium
Lineage: Bacteria
Description: partial 16S ribosomal RNA
Rfam family: Bacterial small subunit ribosomal RNA
Source: RNAcentral
CCUACGGGAGGCAGCAGUGAGGAAUAUUGGUCAAUGGGCGAGAGCCUGAACCAGCCAAGUCGCGUGAAGGAUGACGGCCCUACGGGUUGUAAACUUCUUUUGUCAGGGAGCAAUUGGGUCCACGCGUGGGCUUAGCGAGAGUACCUGAAGAAAAAGCAUCGGCUAACUCCGUGCCAGCAGCCGCGGUAAUACGGAGGAUGCGAGCGUUAUCCGGAUUUAUUGGGUUUAAAGGGUGCGUAGGCGGAAGGUUAAGUCAGCGGUCAAAUGUCGGUGCUCAACACCGGCCUGCCGUUGAAACUGGUCUUCUUGAGUGAGCGAGAAGUAUGCGGAAUGCGUGGUGUAGCGGUGAAAUGCAUAGAUAUCACGCAGAACUCCGAUUGCGAAGGCAGCAUACCGGCGCUCAACUGACGCUGAGGCACGAAAGCGUGGGGAUCGAACAGGAUUAGAUACCCGAGUAGUC